UGCCAGCCGCCGCGGUAAUACGAAUGCGUCAAGCGUUGUUCGGAAUCACUGGGCUUAAAGCGCUCGUAGGCGGCUUGAUAAGUCAGAGGUGAAAGCCCACGGCCCAACCGUGGAACUGCCUCUGAUACUGUCAGGCUUGAGGACAAGAGGGGACAGUGGAAUUCUGGGUGUAGCGGUGAAAUGCGUAGAUAUCCAGGAGAACGCCGGUGGCGAAAGCGACUGUCUGGCUUGUUUCUGACGCUGAGGGGCGAAAGCUAGGGGAGCGAACGGGAUUAGAUA
Molecule: ribosomal RNA, 279 nt
Filed under: uncultured bacterium
Lineage: Bacteria
Description: partial 16S ribosomal RNA
Rfam family: Bacterial small subunit ribosomal RNA
Source: RNAcentral